ACAAAGCAACCGGGAACGAUCAAGGUCACCAAACCGACCAUCAUUUCCGAACUAACAAUUGUUCUUUGUCUGAAAAGUUGAAACAGGUGUAAUCCAAGACAACCGUGCAAGAAGCAGGUGUCGCCCAAAGAAGAAGGCACAUGGGUACAAGAAAUAUUUUGGUAAUAAGGAAUUCACUCGAAAGGUAAGUUUCCACGAAACUCCCUUUUAUCUUCUACUAAAACAAGAAAAUUCAAAAAAAAAGAGGUCGCUUAGUAUUCUCGAACUUUGUCCCCAGCCAAUCAGCAUUAGGGUUUUAAACCCUGAACUGAACUUUUUCCUUUAAUCAGCAUUAGGGUUUUAAAACUCUAAACUGAACAUUUUUCCAUUCAGCCAGCAUUAGGGUUUUCAACCCUAAACUGAGCUUUUCAAUGCAAUCAACAUUAGGGUUUUAAACCCUAAACUGAAUUUUUCCUUUAGUCAGCAUUAGGGUUUUAAACCCUAAACUGAACUUUUUUCCAUUCAGCCAGCAUUAGGGUUUUAAACCCUAAACUGAGCUUUUCUAUGCAAUCAGCAUUAGGGUUUUAAACCCUAAACUGAAUUUUCCCUUCAGUUAGCAUUAGGGUUUUAAACCCUAAACUAAACUUUUUUCCAUUCAGCCAGCAUUAGGGUUUUAAACCUUAAACUGAGCUUUUCCAUGCAAUCAGCAUUAGGGCUUUAAACCCUAAACUGAAUUUUCCCUUUAGUUAGCAUUAGGGUUUUAAACCCUAAACUGAACUUUUUCCCUUCAGCCAGCAUUAGGGUUUUAAACCGUAAACUGAGCUUUUUCCAUUCAGCCAGCAUUAGGGUUUUAAACCCUAAACUGAGCUUUUCCAUGCAGUCAGCAUUAGGGUUUUAAACCCUAAACUGAAUUUUUCCUUUUAGUCAGCAUUAGGGUUUUAAACCCUAAACUGAACUUUUCCUUUAGUCAACAUUAGGGUUUUAAACCCUAAACUGAACUUUUUCCAUUCAGCUAGCAUUAGGGUUUUAAACCCUAAACUAAG
RNAcentral lists this long non-coding RNA (1022 nucleotides) under Nicotiana tabacum (common tobacco). RNAcentral's name for it is "long non-coding RNA (NTAB_LNC013034)". The record is from RNAcentral. Lineage: Eukaryota; Viridiplantae; Streptophyta; Magnoliopsida; Solanales; Solanaceae.